CUCGUAGGCGGCCAACUAAGUCAGACGUGAAAUCCCUCGGCUUAACCGGGGAACUGCGUCUGAUACUGGAUGGCUAGAGGUUGGGAGAGGGAUGCGGAAUUCCAGGUGUAGCGGUGAAAUGCGUAGAUAUCUGGAGGAACACCGGUGGCGAAGGCGGCAUCCUGGACCAAUUCUGACGCUGAGGAGCGAAAGCCAGGGAGCAAACG
This 206-nucleotide ribosomal RNA is filed under the name uncultured bacterium. RNAcentral describes it as "partial 16S ribosomal RNA". It matches the Rfam family "Bacterial small subunit ribosomal RNA", at positions 568 to 774 of the family's 1533-position model. The record is from RNAcentral.